GUUCAAAGUUUCAGUUUUGAUUCUUUUCUCAUUUCUCUUCACAGCCUCUGCUGUUCGCCCAGCUCCUCCUCUUGAAGGAUUACUUCCAAAUGGUAAUUUUGAAGAGCUACCAAAGGCAAAAGACCUCAAGAAGAAAACAGUGCUUCAAGGUAAAUAUGCUUUGCCCAAAUGGGAGAUUAAUGGCUUAGUGGAGUAUAUUUCUGGCGGGCCUCAGCCCGGUGGGAUGUACUUCGCAGUCGCCCACGGUGUCCACGCUGUGAGGCUUGGGAAUGAGGCUUCAAUUUCUCAGACAAUUCCAGUCAAGAAAGGCUCUUUGUAUGCACUUACUUUUGGGGCAUCAAGAACUUGUGCUCAAGAAGAGGUGUUGAGGGUGUCAGUGCCUCCUCAAACAGGAGACCUUCCUUUGCAGACCCUUUAUAGCAGCAAUGGUGGUGAUACUUAUGCUUGGGGUUUCUACGCCACCUCUAAUGUUGUUAAAAUUACCUUUCAUAAUCCUGGAGUUCAAGAGGAUCCUGCUUGUGGUCCACUCUUGGAUGCUGUUGCUAUCAAAGAACUUUUUCCACCUCGCCCUACAAGAGUGAACUUG
RNAcentral lists this unclassified non-coding RNA (586 nucleotides) under Hevea brasiliensis (rubber tree). The record is from RNAcentral. Lineage: Eukaryota; Viridiplantae; Streptophyta; Magnoliopsida; Malpighiales; Euphorbiaceae.